This 780-nucleotide ribosomal RNA is filed under the name Staphylococcus sp. Y82-MSE-E14. RNAcentral describes it as "bacterial SSU rRNA". It matches the Rfam family "Bacterial small subunit ribosomal RNA", at positions 56 to 817 of the family's 1533-position model. The record is from RNAcentral. Lineage: Bacteria; Bacillati; Bacillota; Bacilli; Caryophanales; Staphylococcaceae.
UGCAAGUCGAGCGAACAGAUGAGAAGCUUGCUUCUCUGAUGUUAGCGGCGGACGGGUGAGUAACACGUGGGUAACCUACCUAUAAGACUGGGAUAACUCCGGGAAACCGGGGCUAAUACCUGAUAAUAUUUUGAACCGCAUGGUUCGAUAGUGAAAGGCGGCUUCGGCUGUCACUUAUAGAUGGACCCGCGCCGUAUUAGCUAGUUGGUAAGGUAAUGGCUUACCAAGGCGACGAUACGUAGCCGACCUGAGAGGGUGAUCGGCCACACUGGAACUGAGACACGGUCCAGACUCCUACGGGAGGCAGCAGUAGGGAAUCUUCCGCAAUGGGCGAAAGCCUGACGGAGCAACGCCGCGUGAGUGAUGAAGGUUUUCGGAUCGUAAAACUCUGUUGUUAGGGAAGAACAAAUUUGUUAGUAACUGAACAAGUCUUGACGGUACCUAACCAGAAAGCCACGGCUAACUACGUGCCAGCAGCCGCGGUAAUACGUAGGUGGCAAGCGUUAUCCGGAAUUAUUGGGCGUAAAGCGCGCGUAGGCGGUUUCUUAAGUCUGAUGUGAAAGCCCACGGCUCAACCGUGGAGGGUCAUUGGAAACUGGGGAACUUGAGUGCAGAAGAGGAGAGUGGAAUUCCAUGUGUAGCGGUGAAAUGCGCAGAGAUAUGGAGGAACACCAGUGGCGAAGGCGGCUCUCUGGUCUGUAACUGACGCUGAUGUGCGAAAGCGUGGGGAUCAAACAGGAUUAGAUACCCUGGUAGUCCACGCCGUAAACGAUGAGUGCU